GCUUCCUAGAGGGGGCUGCAGCUGCUGGAUAGAAGUGCCAUGCGAUCAGAGCAAAGCCAGAGGGGUUGUCUGAUUGUGCCGUUGCUGCUUUCAGAAUCAGACUUUUCCUAAAGACGAUUGGAAAGUUAUUGGAACUCUGCCCCAACCCCUGUUCCCUCUCAACUUUGCUUUGGAAAAUCUGGAGAUUCUUUCCCCACAGAGAGACUGUAGGAGAUUUUUUUUUUUUUUUAAGUUAGUGGGUUUAUUUCUGCUGGAUUUCUUCUUCCUUUUGCCGAGUUGCUUUCCUGUAGCUGUUGUGCUUGGUGGAUGAGGAAGCAGCGUGCAUAUUUGAGAGCUGUGCAGAAAGGCUGACAAGAGUUCGUCUGGAGGAUUGGCUGUUGGACAAGCUGAGCCAGAAAACCUCGCUUCAAGUUCUCACACUUUCAAAAACAAGACCUUUAAAAAACCCAAAGACUGUAGUAUCUGCAAACAAGCCAUUGACAGCCAAGGCAUUUCCUGCAGAGUUUGCAAGUAUGCCUGCCACAAGAAAUGUGAAGCAAAGGUGGUGAAACCCUGCUUCCUGCCAAUCAACUACGAACUGGUAAGUGAAUCUGACAGUACUGAUGUCAAUCAGGGGAAGAGUGCAGUUAAAGGACCAGCAGAAGUA
RNAcentral lists this long non-coding RNA (646 nucleotides) under Terrapene triunguis (Three-toed box turtle). Its description in RNAcentral is "Terrapene carolina triunguis (Three-toed box turtle) lncRNA (ENSTMTG00000006117.1)". Lineage: Eukaryota; Metazoa; Chordata; Testudines; Emydidae. The record is from RNAcentral.